Molecule: ribosomal RNA, 253 nt
Filed under: uncultured bacterium
Lineage: Bacteria
Description: partial 16S ribosomal RNA
Rfam family: Bacterial small subunit ribosomal RNA
Source: RNAcentral
UACGUAGGGUGCAAGCGUUAAUCGGAAUUACUGGGCGUAAAGCGUGCGCAGGCGGCUUUGCAAGACAGAUGUGAAAUCCCCGGGCUUAACCUGGGAACUGCAUUUGUGACUGCAUGGCUAGAGUGCGGCAGAGGGGGAUGGAAUUCCGCGUGUAGCAGUGAAAUGCGUAGAUAUGCGGAGGAACACCGAUGGCGAAGGCAAUCCCCUGGGCCUGCACUGACGCUCAUGCACGAAAGCGUGGCGAGCAAACAGG